Molecule: ribosomal RNA, 1369 nt
Filed under: uncultured bacterium
Lineage: Bacteria
Description: bacterial SSU rRNA
Rfam family: Bacterial small subunit ribosomal RNA
Source: RNAcentral
GAUGAACGCUGGCGGCGUGCCUAAUACAUGCAAGUCGAGCGAACAGACAAGGAGCUUGCUCCUUUGACGUUAGCGGCGGACGGGUGAGUAACACGUGGGUAACCUACCUAUAAGACUGGGAUAACUUCGGGAAACCGGAGCUAAUACCGGAUAAUAUUUCGAACCGCAUGGUUCGAUAGUGAAAGAUGGUUUUGCUAUCACUUAUAGAUGGACCCGCGCCGUAUUAGCUAGUUGGUAAGGUAACGGCUUACCAAGGCGACGAUACGUAGCCGACCUGAGAGGGUGAUCGGCCACACUGGAACUGAGACACGGUCCAGACUCCUACGGGAGGCAGCAGUAGGGAAUCUUCCGCAAUGAGCGAAAGCCUGACGGAGCAACGCCGCGUGAGUGAUGAAGGUCUUCGGAUCGUAAAACUCUGUUAUUAGGGAAGAACAUACGUGUAAAGUACUAUGCACGUCUUGACGGUACCUAAUCAGAAAGCCACGGCUAACUACGUGCCAGCAGCCGCGGGUAUACGUAGGUGCCAAGCGUUUCCCGGAUUAUUGGGCGUAAGCGCGCGUAGGCGGUUUUUUAGUCUGAUGUGAAAGCCCACGGCUCAACCGUGGAGGGUCAUUGGAAACUGGAAAACUUGAGUGCAGAAGAGGAAAGUGGAAUUCCAUGUGUAGCGGUGAAAUGCGCAGAGAUAUGGAGGAACACCAGUGGCGAAGGCGACUUUCUGGUCUGUAACUGACGCUGAUGUGCGAAAGCGUGGGGAUCAAACAGGAUUAGAUACCCUGGUAGUCCACGCCGUAAACGAUGAGUGCUAAGUGUUAGGGGGUUUCCGCCCCUUAGUGCUGCAGCUAACGCAUUAAGCACUCCGCCUGGGGAGUACGACCGCAAGGUUGAAACUCAAAGGAAUUGACGGGGACCCGCACAAGCGGUGGAGCAUGUGGUUUAAUUCGAAGCAACGCGAAGAACCUUACCAAAUCUUGACAUCCUUUGACAACUCUAGAGAUAGAGCCUUCCCCUUCGGGGGACAAAGUGACAGGUGGUGCAUGGUUGUCGUCAGCUCGUGUCGUGAGAUGUUGGGUUAAGUCCCGCAACGAGCGCAACCCUUAAGCUUAGUUGCCAUCAUUAAGUUGGGCACUCUAAGUUGACUGCCGGUGACAAACCGGAGGAAGGUGGGGAUGACGUCAAAUCAUCAUGCCCCUUAUGAUUUGGGCUACACACGUGCUACAAUGGACAAUACAAAGGGCAGCGAAACCGCGAGGUCAAGCAAAUCCCAUAAAGUUGUUCUCAGUUCGGAUUGUAGUCUGCAACUCGACUACAUGAAGCUGGAAUCGCUAGUAAUCGUAGAUCAGCAUGCUACGGUGAAUACGUACCCGGGUCU